UACAGAGGGUGCAAGCGUUAAUCGGAAUUACUGGGCGUAAAGCGUGCGUAGACGGUUAUUUAAGUCAGGUGUGUAAGCCCCGGGCUCAACCUGGGAAUUGCAUUUGAGACUGAAUAGCUAGGGUGCGGAAGAGGGAAGCGGAAUUUCCGGUGUAGCGGUGAAAUGCGUAGAUAUCGGAAGGAACACCAGUGGCGAAAGCGGCUUCCUGGUCCAGCACCGACGUUCAGGCACGAAAGCGUGGGGAGCAAACAGG
RNAcentral lists this ribosomal RNA (253 nucleotides) under uncultured bacterium. RNAcentral describes it as "partial 16S ribosomal RNA". It matches the Rfam family "Bacterial small subunit ribosomal RNA", at positions 524 to 776 of the family's 1533-position model. The record is from RNAcentral.